UUUUGUUUCCAGUUGUGACUCUCGGACACGAAAAAAAACCGUGUUUUUCCUUUUUCCAGAGGGGCAGAUUUGCUUCCACGAGAGGCACGGUCGUGUGCCUAAAAACAACAAAAUAAUACAUUUUUUUCUUUUCUUGAGAGGCAUGAUUUUUUACUUGCGCAAGAGGAACAUAUUUGCUUCACUGUUUUUCCUUACUCCAAAUUAUACCUAGCCAAAACUUCGGUUGGGUCGGGCCUAAAAAUCCACGCUACAAAACUCAAGCCCAGACCCGGCCCAAACCAACCGUCU
RNAcentral lists this long non-coding RNA (288 nucleotides) under Hordeum vulgare. RNAcentral describes it as "long non-coding RNA (HVUL_LNC008179)". Lineage: Eukaryota; Viridiplantae; Streptophyta; Magnoliopsida; Poales; Poaceae. The record is from RNAcentral.